CGAAAACCCUCAGCGAAGCGCGACCGCUUUAGUGCGUCGCUGAGGGCGGCUUUUGCCUAUUUAACCAGCCGAGUGAAUAAGGGGAGGGCAAGUCUGGUGUCAGCCGCCGCGGUAAUACCAGCUCCUCGAGUGGUUGGGACGAUUAUUGGGUCUAAAGCGUCCGUAGCCGGCCGGAAAAGUUUCCGUUAAAUCCAACGAUCCAAUCGUUGGGCUGCGGGGAAUACUCUUCGGCUUGGGGGCGAGGGAGGUCGGCGGUAGUCUCGGGGUAGGGGCGAAAUCCUAUAAUCCCGAGAGGACCACCAGUGGCGAAGGCGGCGACUAAAAGCGCGCCCGACGGUGAGGGACGAAAGCUGGGGGAGCGAACGGGAUUAGAUACCCCGGUAGUCCCAGCUGUAAAACGAUGCAGGCUAGGUGUUUGGGACGGCCACGAGCUGUCCCAGUGCCGCAGGGAAGCCAUUAAGCCUGCCACCUGGGGAGUACGGUCGCAAGGCUGAAUUCUCUUUGAGCAUUCGCUCGAGAGACAGUUGACUUAAAGGAAUUGGCGGGGGAGCACCACAAGGGGUGAAGCUUGCGGUUUAAUUGGAGUCAACACCGGGAAACUUACCAGGAGCGACAGUUGAAUGAAGGUCAGAUUAAAGGUCUUUGCCGGACUAGCUGAGAGGAGGUGCAUGGCCGUCGCCCAGUUCGUGCCGUGAGGGUGUUCUCUUAAGUGAGACAAACGAACGAGACCCGCACCCUUAGUUGCCAGCGGAUUCCUCGGGAUUCCAGCACACUAAGAGGACUGCCCACGCUAAGUGGGAGGAAGGAACGGCCACGGCAGGUCAGUAUGCCCCAGAUCUCCUGGCCACACGCGAGCUGCAAUGGCUGGACAUGGAUCCGACCUCGAGAGAGAAGCAUCCUCAAACCCAGCCUCAGUUGGAUCGAGGGCUGUAACCCGCCCUCGUGACAUGAUCCCUAUAU
Molecule: ribosomal RNA, 960 nt
Filed under: uncultured archaeon
Lineage: Archaea
Description: bacterial SSU rRNA
Rfam family: Archaeal small subunit ribosomal RNA
Source: RNAcentral